GCUUGUUUGGGCCGUGCACAGUCUAAAAUUGGAACGACACAGAGAAGAUUAGCAUGGCCCCUGUGUAAAUUCAUGAUAUGUUCACAUUGUCAUCAAUUUCCU
Molecule: small nuclear RNA, 102 nt
Organism: Ochotona princeps (American pika)
Lineage: Eukaryota; Metazoa; Chordata; Mammalia; Lagomorpha; Ochotonidae
Source: Ensembl